Molecule: long non-coding RNA, 355 nt
Organism: Dicentrarchus labrax (European seabass)
Lineage: Eukaryota; Metazoa; Chordata; Actinopteri; Moronidae
Exons: 2
Source: RefSeq, a predicted model, not a curated record
GUGGAUACGGGGAUAUGGCACCAAGUUGGUCUGGAACUCUGUCAGAUCAACAUUGAGGGCGCCGUCGAAGCGAAGGGAAGCAGUGAUGGAGGACACGAUCUGACUGAUCAACCUGUUCAGGUUGGUGUAAGACGGACGCUCGAUAUCGAGGUUCCUACGGCAGAUAUCGUAGAUGGCCUCGUUAUCCACCAUGAAGGCACAGUCAGAGUGCUCCAGGGUGGUGUGGGUGGUCAGGAUGGCGUUGUAGGGCUCCACCACAGCGGUGGACACCUGAGGAGCUGGGUAGAUGGAGAACUCCAGCUUGGACUUCUUGCCGUAGUCAACAGACAGACGCUCCAUCAGCAGGGAGGUGAAA